RNAcentral lists this unclassified non-coding RNA (403 nucleotides) under fungal sp. RNAcentral describes it as "partial internal transcribed spacer region". The stretch from base 1 to 46 matches the Rfam family "Eukaryotic small subunit ribosomal RNA", at positions 1786 to 1831 of the family's 1831-position model. The record is from RNAcentral. Lineage: Eukaryota; Fungi.
AAGUCGUAACAAGGUCUCCGUAGGUGAACCUGCGGAGGGAUCAUUAACACGUUUUAAAACACGUUUUAACACAACCAACCAACCAACCACGUGAACUAUUUAACACUCCUGGAAGAAAAGAAUUCUGUCUCUACUUAUCAUCAAUGAGUUGUGUAAUACUUUGCGUGUAGUUUAACUACUGCACGUAAUUACUUACAUUUCGGUGAGUCUAGACUAGCAUUGCAGUUAAGAGCUGACUUGUAAAGACCUUUUCUUUUGGGCUAAAUGCGUCCCUCAUUGCUGGCGCGAAAACACCCCUUUCACCACUUCUAUAACCAUUGACUGAUCUUUUUUCUUUGUAAUAUAGGAAAAAAACUAAUCAAAUAUCUAAGCACAACUCUUAGCAACGGAUAUCUUGGUUCUC